AUGGCAAAGAAUGCGCUUUCGCCGAAAAGUCCAGAGAAAGGCGUCCAAGUAUAUUGUAUUGCUGUGCCAAGAAAGGAGCAAGUAUGGCGCGCGUGUCCUGGGAGUGAGUACAUACAUGAUAGAAUGGUCCAAAAGACCAAACCUGCACGCAUCACGGCAUCAGGGAAGCAUCUUGGAGAUGGAGGUGAGCAUACUAUUAUUCUGCGAGCGAAACGAAGCUGCUUUGUAUUUGGAACUAACUUCAUCGGUGCUCGUAGUGGAGUGUGGGGCAGGAGUAAGAUACAGUUAACGUCACCCGGAUCGGCUUCCAUUGGUUUGGGUGCUUGUUGGAAGAGCAGGUGA
Molecule: ribosomal RNA, 342 nt
Filed under: Triticum aestivum (bread wheat)
Lineage: Eukaryota; Viridiplantae; Streptophyta; Magnoliopsida; Poales; Poaceae
Description: partial small subunit ribosomal RNA
Source: RNAcentral